This 364-nucleotide unclassified non-coding RNA is filed under the name Hevea brasiliensis (rubber tree). The record is from RNAcentral. Lineage: Eukaryota; Viridiplantae; Streptophyta; Magnoliopsida; Malpighiales; Euphorbiaceae.
CCAGAAUAUAGCACAAUCUAGUUCCUGAAGUUUUCAAGAAAUAAUCUUAAAAGAGGCAAAUUGGAUUGAAGCUAGAUAUCAAUUUUGUUGAAUGAUUACAUUAGAAACUAGAGGAUCUUGUGUUUCCCUUUAUUUUAUGGCCCAAAGGGGUUUCGAGUCCUUUUAACUUACCCUACUUAUUAAUACAGUCUAAGCUCUUAGAGCUUUAAGUGGAUAAUGGUUGUCCUCAAAAAGGUGCACUGUAAAAAGAGAAAGUAAACUGUUUAAAUUGGUGCAAUGCUGUGCAAUUUGCCAGAUUAUAGUGCUUAGAUAUCAAGCGCAGUUCUUUCUUUGGUGUCUACUCCAAUUUUUUGUGACAGCUGGG